AUUUUAAACCAAGUGAACUUUUAUAGCUUUCAAAUAUAAAAGGUGAUUUUGAUAUACUUAAAAAUAUUUUAGACUGCUAAGUAAGUGCUCUCUUUUGUUGCACAUGUGUUUCAUUGCAUCUUAGUUUUAUAUAAAAGAAAACGUUCUUGAAUAUGCUGUCAAUCACUAUAAUACUUCGAACAGAGAUUCUAGAAUAGGAGUCCAGGCUGUAACUGGGUUCAGGAUUUAUUCGAUGAUGCCCUCUGCAAAGAGAGGUCUCUCUUUAUACUACUGAAGUUAGAAGAUUUUUAUCUAAAGCAUUUUAUCUUCUUUUUUUUUCUUUCUUUUUCAUUGAGCUGAGGGGUGAUUACUGUUGCUUUUGUGAAGUAGCUGUCCUUUGUUCCAUGACUUUUUAACAUUUCUUAGCUCAAAUUCAAUCUUCCUUCAGAAUCCUUUCUUAUCAUUUCUUUCCCACCAUUCCUACCAGAUAGUGUGUGUGGGUUUGGUUUUUUUUUUUUCCCCCCAU
This 505-nucleotide long non-coding RNA is filed under the name Bos taurus (domestic cattle). RNAcentral describes it as "long non-coding RNA NONBTAT023767". The record is from RNAcentral. Lineage: Eukaryota; Metazoa; Chordata; Mammalia; Artiodactyla; Bovidae.